UGAGAGCCCCGUCGUGCCCG
This 20-nucleotide small nuclear RNA is filed under the name Arabidopsis thaliana (thale cress). RNAcentral describes it as "snRNA_01037". Lineage: Eukaryota; Viridiplantae; Streptophyta; Magnoliopsida; Brassicales; Brassicaceae. The record is from RNAcentral.